AACGAUGGAUGCUAGCUGUAUUCGGUAUCGACCCCGAAUGUAGCGAAGCUAACGCGUUAAGCAUCCCGCCUGUGGAGUACGGUCGCAAGACUAAAACAUAAAGGAAUUGACGGGGACCCGCACAAGCGGUGGAGCGUGUUGUUUAAUUCGAUGGUAAACGAAGAACCUUACCCAGGCUUGACAUCCUGCGAAGGUCUCCGAAAGGAGACUGUGCCUUGUGAGCGCAGUGACAGGUGUUGCAUGGCCGUCGUCAGCUCGUGUCGUGAGAUGUUUGGUUAAGUCCAUCAACGAGCGCAACCCUUAUUGUCUGUUGUAUUUUUCAGGCAAGACUGCCCUGGCAACAGGGAGGAAGGAGGGGAUGAUGUCAGGUCAGUAUUACCCUUACGUCUGGGGCUACAAACACGCUACAAUGGCCGGUACAAAGGGCAGCCAAAGCGCAAGCUGGAGCAAAUCCCAUCAAAGCCGGUCCCAGUUCGGAUAGCAGGCUGAAACUCGCCUGCUUGAAGUCGGAAUCGCUAGUAACGGUAGGUCAGCUAUACUACCGUGAAUACGUUCCCGGGUCUUGUACACACCGCCCGUCAAACCAUGAAAGUCGCCAAUACCUGACGUGCUAGCUUGCCUAGCCCUAAGGUAGGGGAGAUGAUUGGGGUUAAGUCGUAACAAGGUAACCAAGGG
This 675-nucleotide ribosomal RNA is filed under the name uncultured bacterium. Its description in RNAcentral is "bacterial SSU rRNA". It matches the Rfam family "Bacterial small subunit ribosomal RNA", at positions 805 to 1506 of the family's 1533-position model. The record is from RNAcentral.